Long non-coding RNA from Bombus pyrosoma, 2715 nucleotides. RefSeq lists it as uncharacterized. The record is from RefSeq and is a predicted model, not a curated record. The transcript has 4 exons. Lineage: Eukaryota; Metazoa; Arthropoda; Insecta; Hymenoptera; Apidae.
AUUUAUUGAGAUUUAAAGGAUUAUAAAUUCGUUUAGUUAUUCUCGUAACCUAGAAGGAAUUAUGCUCUGAUGAAUUUCUAGAAGUUUCGAAGCAUUCCAAUAUGUCGAGAAUGUGUGAUAAAUCAAUAGAAACCGUUAACAUCAUAUUAUCGAAGCAACUAUGAAAACAUUCAUCACAUGUAGAUGUAUAUACAUUACGGUUUACUGACGACAAAUGUGGUAAUAUCUGUACCUUUAUUUUGUCAAAUUUGACCAAAAACUGUCAUAUAUAAUACUACAUUUUAUGUACGAAAGAGAAUUCUCUUUUAGAUCUUUCAAGCGUAAGUCGACGCCAUGAUUUUACAACAUGUAAUGGCGUCAUUACUCUUUGCACACGAUCCAUAUUUUUCUAUCAAAUAUAUUUAUAUUGACUAUUAAAUCAUAUUUAAUCGUAUUAAUAUUACAUUAGCGUAGUAUAUGUAAUUUUUGUCUUAAUUAAUGUUUCUUAUAGAAUUUCGUAUGAUCAUUAAUGAACAUAAACUCCGGUUGCUGAAAGUAUAUUCCUGGCAUUAACGAUUACGUAUCUCGGCGUUUCUAGAUGUGACCAGUCGUAAGUCAGUUGUGUUGUCAACAAAGAAACAAGGAACACAAGUAGUUUAUUCUUUCGUUCCGGUCAAUAAAUAAUCUUUGAUUUGUGGAAGUUAAAAUUUUCGAGAGUGGCCGCAAUGAAGUACGUCUCGGCGUAUAGGCGAUGUACUUAAACCGUAAACGAUAGAGGACGACAAACACUGAAUAAGCGUUGAAGAAGAAAUAGAAGAAAAGAGAUGUAAAAAAUAUUCCUGGUCAAGGAACUUUUACUUUUUCUUUCUUUUCUGUGACAUAUGUAUUGCGAAGCGAAGGGUAUAUGUCCACGCGUUCUCAAUUGCUUGCAUCGUUGCCACGUCCACAUUACAAUAUGAGCCCAAAUUGCAAAAACUGAAAACUAAAUAUGUAUCUAAAAUAGCUUUUGUUACCAAUUCUACUAUUUUAAAUGUAUUUAAUCUAUGUGAAUUAAAAUAUGCUAUUAGUAUAGUUGAGUAAGUUGAUAAAAAAUGUAAAUGAUUCUAUUUUAUAAUUUUUAUUUUAAAUCUGAAGAGUUGUUGAAGGUAGAGAUAUCACUGUUUACGCUUAAACGUACCGAGGAAUCAUAUAACAGGCUCAAGUUUAUGCAGCUAUACAUAUAUGCCAAUGAAUAACCUUGGAGCUUCAAUCAACUUGCUUACUUCUACAAAGCAAGAAAUUCAACGAUUUUCAAAAACGAAUACCAUCGAUUAAAAAUCCCCAAGUUUUGAUAACGCGAUACCAUAAUUUAGAUAAUAUUCAACGCUCGCACCAUAAAUACAUAUGGAUCAUGUAUUUUGGGUAAUAAUGAUGUAUAUCACGCGUAACCGUAUAUAGAUAGGAAAACAUUCACUAUUCUGCGCCAUCAGCGAUCAUUUCAAAUCUACGGAAACUCGUGGGUGGAUGGUUAUAUACGCUAAACAGAUUGCCGGUUUAUUUAAACGACGGUGUGUAACGAAAUACGAUGAUGUGCUUGGGAUGAUUCCAAUUUAGCAACCUAGUUUUUUCCCUCGUGUAUCCAAGUGGCGCGCUUUUUUUUCAAGAAAUAAACUGGGUCACACGAUGGCAACGAAGUGUGCGUAUACACGUGUCCAUCGACGAAGAGAAUCGGACGAGUGAACAAGCACGAAAGCAACGUGCUAGAAUAUAAGUUGCAAAGGUGGCGGAUGUAGACGCAUACAAGCAGUGGUAGAGAGGUAUAACGACCUUUGCGGCUCACAGUGAACGUGCGGAAAUCAUUUGUAUAAAAUUUCUAAUCGCAAAGUUCGCGCUAUUGUUAGUCGGUACGCGACGCACGAUCAGGAAAUAAAAUGGCAACAGGAGGAGCGUGAGAACUCACGUAGAGAGAAACGAUUUGUAGGUGGAAAGAACUCCCACAACGUUUCAGCAAUUACAUAUCUCGGAUAAGUUGAAUAGUUGCAUGCAUGUUUCAUGUUGCUUAAUAACAAAGAAUGACGAGUGUUUCAUAGAUCUAUUUGUUAUUUUAUUACUUUUUUAAUUAUUUUGGAAUUAUUUUUAAAAUCUCAGAUGUGUCCUACACCGAUUAUUAUUAUCGGCACAAUCUAACCGGAAACUCGACUAGCAAUUAAUUUCACCGAACCGCUGAUACGACACUAGCAAGAACGAGCAUGUCGAGGCUAGAGGACCAGAAAAGCGAAGUGGAAGAAGGGUACGUUUAGUAAGGGAGUAAUUAGCAAGUCUCUAGAUAGAAACGAUACCUAUCUCGAUAGCUCGUGAGCCAUAAUACGGACAAAACGGGCGAAUAAGGAGAACUUGAACGACACAGCCGUUCAUUCACAGACUAUAUGUAUCUUGGGAUACGUUGUACUUGGUAUUCGUACGUCCCUGAUCGUUCCGAUCUAUAUCUACUAAUCCUAAAAAUAUUUAUAAACGGUAAAAUAUAAUACGAGCAAUAAGGUACUGUUAUCGAGUGCUGAACGACUGUCCAUUUUACUACAUUUAUUUGACUUUCCAAUUAUGCAUAUACUUGCAGUCAGAUGAAUAAUUCACCUUUUAAAAAUAUCAAAAUCGCGGUAGACUCGUAAAGGCCAAGGGAAGGAAGGCAACGAAGGACAGAAGCGACUAAAGGAAGCUUCGAAGCGAGCCUGCGCCGUCUAACCGACACGUAUAAAUAAA